RNAcentral lists this long non-coding RNA (613 nucleotides) under Mytilus galloprovincialis (Mediterranean mussel). Lineage: Eukaryota; Metazoa; Mollusca; Bivalvia; Mytilida; Mytilidae. The record is from RNAcentral.
CUGAACAUCCAAGUGUAAUUUCAGAAGCCUUUUAUAGUAGAACUGACCAGUCACGUGAUAUCAUAAUACACUCAUACAAGGUAAAUCAGCAACAUAAAGUCAAUCAUGUGAAACAAAUGUAAACCUGUUUCCUAUAGGUAAACAGGUCAACGAUAAUAAUUAUUUACAUACAUACACAAAAGUAAAACAACAUUUAUAUAAACAUGGUGCAUAAAUAGAAAACAAUGAUAACAUGAAUAAGUUAAUUAACAGGACGUAACAAUAUCUUGUCAGACAUUGAAAACACAAAAAAUUCUGAUCCAAAUACAGAUACUGAUAUGUCUCUUUUGCUUGAAAAUCCAGGCAACUUCCUUGUUUAGCCUUAUUUAUUACACAAGUACUUUGAGCCACAUAAACCACAUCUUGUUCUGUUAAAAGAUACCAUUGAGGAAAGGCAAGUAAAAAUUGUAGUGGAAAUAUCAUCCUACAAUAAAUAUGGAACACAUGUAUUGUUUGCUACACAUUUGAAGCGAUCUACUGAGCAGUGUUUUCAGCAGUGUAUGGCAGGUUUAUCCUUUAACCAGGAAGAAAUAGCUGGACUUGUUGUAGUGCCUGAUGGAAUGAAACUCAUGGU